Molecule: long non-coding RNA, 501 nt
Organism: Triticum aestivum (bread wheat)
Lineage: Eukaryota; Viridiplantae; Streptophyta; Magnoliopsida; Poales; Poaceae
Exons: 2
Source: RefSeq, a predicted model, not a curated record
CCCUGACCGGUGAAGAGCGGUGCCCCGAGCGGCAGUCCUGACCAGGGAAGACCGGCGCCCCGCGUCGACAACCCCGACCCCCCGUCGGUCGCUCCACUUCCCGCGACGCGGCCGUCCGCCACCGGUGCUGCACCUCCUGACGGCCGGUUCAACAGAUGCAGUCCAUCACCACCACCCGUCCUCUUCCACACUAUUCGCUGGCUCGCCGCCUGCUGCCAUCUUUCGGUUCUCCACAUCGCAGCUGAUGAUGUUUCCUGUACCGGAUUCUAAAUAUGAUGAGGAGUUGAAUGAGAAAGAUGCCGAAGCAAAAGGUGCCAAUCUAGAAGCUGCUCAAGAUGACAAGUCAAAAGAACAGAAGCAAAUGGCGUCAUGAAAUCUUAUUGUUGGACCAUGAAUUACGAAUCUUCUUACUUAUGAAUCUUGUCACUUGCUGUCAAGUAUAAACAUGUAUUGGUAUUUUGUUUACUUGCUGUCAAAUAUAAACAUGUAUUGCUACUGGGA